Molecule: long non-coding RNA, 1798 nt
Organism: Lolium perenne
Lineage: Eukaryota; Viridiplantae; Streptophyta; Magnoliopsida; Poales; Poaceae
Source: RefSeq, a predicted model, not a curated record
CUCCACCACCAUAGCGCCAACCACUCCCCUCCCCUUUUAAUCUCCAUCCGAGGCAGGAAAACUCUAGCCCUCUUCCCUCUGGCCGCCGCCACUCUCUCCUUUCACCCCCACCUUCCUUUUUCGUUUCUCUGUAAGCAAACGAAGAAAUGCCACCGCCACCUCCUCUCCAUGGCGCCGCCGCUACCGGCCGCCCCUCGCCAAGCUGAAGCCACCAGAAUAUCCGCCUUGUCGUCCUCUCCAUCCCCGUUCAAGGAAUCGAGCCGGGGCUCACUCAAUCGACGGUGAAAUCGCCGAUUCCGCCUCCAACUCCGGCGAGUAAUCCAUCAAUUGCGGCCACCCUCGUCCUCCUCCGGCCAAACCGAGAACACCUCCGGCUUCCCCGUGUUCCGGCGCACCUCCGACGCCCAGUCCCUCGUCCUGGUUCAGCCCCAGUCGUCGUCGCCGUCUCCGACCUGAUCUCCUGUGAGCCAUGGCUGCGAGUUCUUUCUCGAACCCGUCCUCGACUGGUUCAAGUUUCGUCCAGACUCGUUUGUUCAACAACAGCAUCAGCAGCACACUGUUCUCGCGGCCGAAUAUGCUUCAAUAGCUGUGGAGCCUUUCUUGUAUCACAACAGCAACAUAGCUCGUAUGAUCCGAUGCUGGGCCUCGACCCGUUUCUCUUCGUCUGCAGCCAUCGCCCCCGCGGCCCAGGAUUUCCCAUCGCCAACGCAGACCGGAUCCGGCCCAGAACGUCAAAGCAUUUGCUUCUUCCCGGAUAGGAUCACGAAGUGGUGUGUGAGAUACGACGAGUUCUCCGACAAGUUCUUCUGCAGCUUUUUACAGGCGAGCCCACCCCUUCACCUAUUUUACUUUUACAUGCUCUUUUGAUCUAUUGCUAUCCUUGUGUUGCGAUUCUGUUGUGUCACGUGUCCUAUCCACCUGUUACCUAUAUGUCCGAGAUACACCUCCUCGCCCUACCUAUUGUUUGUUGUUUGCCAGCUUUGCGAGUCGUAGGCGAGUUUAGGGUCUUGUUGAUAUCUCGAGAUGUUCGGGAUAUCUUGUUGGGAGGGUAUCACAUGCUAUAUCAGUUGUUGGAGAUACACAUGCUUUACUUUAUUGUUAACAACUAAAAUUGUAAGCAGAGGCAUCUGUGAGCCCCUUUGCGAAAGCAUCGGAACUUUGACUUGCUAAUGUCCCCUAGGACCCGAGUUCUUGUUAUCUGUUCCGAGAUUGAGCGCUCUACCCGUACGUGGGGGAGUGGGACCCCCAUCACCCACUACCUUUCCUCGAGUCUGUUUAUUGGGAGCCACAACCUUGGUUUUAUUUGCUCAUAUGCACGAUGCACGAUUUACUUCUGUUGCCUUCGGGUGUUUAUAUUCUGUUCUGUACUCAUAUUGUGGAACGAUUAGCGAUAGCAGGUUGUUCACACUUAGCUUAGCCGUUGGCACAAACCUCUGGGUCCGUAUCGGAGUACGGCCGAACUUCGUCAUGGGUAGCUUAGUUGGGUGGCUCCCAUUAAACUUUCUCUUGCAUUGGGAACGGUCUUGUUGUGAGACUCCACCUGUAGUAAGUGGGGUCGAGCAUGCGUAUGGUUACAUUUGGGCAACCCCUGCAGGGUGUACAUCUUAUCGAUAAGCCGUGUCCGCGGUUAUGGACGACUUGGAAUUGUAUGGCUUGAUCAUAGAACAACUUACACCUUAUACUUGUUGUUAAUAAUCUGAUAAUAACUUGUGUAGUAAUAUAACAUUACUACAACCAACAUAUAAUAAAAUUGUCAACCGUGGAGUGCCUUUUACAUUGCCUCUUCGCUUUGUUGAAG